Phrynosoma platyrhinos (Desert horned lizard) is the source of this 72-nucleotide non-coding RNA. NCBI's taxonomy places the organism in Eukaryota, Metazoa, Chordata, Lepidosauria, Squamata, Phrynosomatidae. The record is from the annotation of a GenBank genome assembly.
ACCAGUGUGGUGUAGUGGUUUGAGUAUUUGACUGUGACUCUGGAGAUCAGGGUUCAAAUCCCAGCUUGGCCA